CCUACGGGAGGCAGCAGUGGGGAAUAUUGCACAAUGGGGGAAACCCUGAUGCAGCGACGCCGCGUGGGUGAUGAAGUAUUUCGGUUUGUAAAGCUCUUUCAUCAGGGAAGAUAAUGACGGUAUCUGACUAAGAAGCCCCGGCUAACUACGUGCCAGCAGCCGCGGUAAUACGGAGGGGGCAAGCGUUAGCCGGAUUUACUGGGCGUAAAGGGAGCGUAGACGGUUAAUCAAGUCAGAAGUGAAAACCUAGGGCUCAACCAUAGAACUGCUUUUGAAACUGAUAAUCUAGAGUACAGGAGAGGUAGGCGGAAUUCUUGGUGUAGGGGUGAAAUGCGUAGAGAUUAGGAGGAACACCAGUGGCGAAGGCGGCUUACUGGACUGUAACUGACGUUGAGGCGCGAAAGCGUGGGGAGCAAACAGGAUUAGAUACCCUUGUAGUC
Molecule: ribosomal RNA, 440 nt
Filed under: uncultured bacterium
Lineage: Bacteria
Description: partial 16S ribosomal RNA
Rfam family: Bacterial small subunit ribosomal RNA
Source: RNAcentral